GGGAAUAUUGGACAAUGGGCGAAAGCCUGAUCCAGCAAUGCCGCGUGAGUGAUGAAGGCCUUAGGGUUGUAAAGCUCUUUUACCCGAGAUGAUAAUGACAGUAUCGGGAGAAUAAGCUCCGGCUAACUCCGUGCCAGCAGCCGCGGUAAUACGGAGGGAGCUAGCGUUGUUCGGAAUUACUGGGCGUAAAGCGCACGUAGGCGGCGAUCUAAGUCAGAGGUGAAAGCCCGGGGCUCAACCCCGGAAUUGCCUUUGAGACUGGAUUGCUAGAAUCUUGGAGAGGUGAGUGGAAUUCCGAGUGUAGAGGUGAAAUUCGUAGAUAUUCGGAAGAACACCAGUGGCGAAAGGCGGCUCACUGGACAAGUAUUGACGCUGAGGUGCGAAAGCGUGGGGAGCAAACAG
Molecule: ribosomal RNA, 402 nt
Filed under: uncultured bacterium
Lineage: Bacteria
Description: bacterial SSU rRNA
Rfam family: Bacterial small subunit ribosomal RNA
Source: RNAcentral